GUAAGGAAUAUUGGACAAUGGAGGCAACUCUGAUCCAGCCAUGCCGCGUGAAGGAUGACGGCCCUACGGGUUGUAAACUUCUUUUCUACUAGAAAAAACAUUUGGUUUCGUACCAGAUCUGAUUGUACAGUAGGAAUAAGCAUCGGCUAACUUCGUGCCAGCAGCCGCGGUAAUACGAAGGAUGCAAGCGUUAUCCGGAUUCACUGGGUUUAAAGGGUGUGCAGGUGGGGCAAUAAGUCAGUGGUGAAAUCCCCCGACUCAAUCGGGGAACUGCCAUCGAUACUGUUGUUCUUGAGUGUAGUUGAGGCAGAUGGAAUAUGACAUGUAGCGGUGAAAUGCUUAGAUAUGUCAUAGAACACCAAUCGCGAAGGCAGUCUGCCAAACUAUUACUGACACUGAAACACGAAAGUGCGGGGAUCAAACAGG
Molecule: ribosomal RNA, 426 nt
Filed under: uncultured bacterium
Lineage: Bacteria
Description: bacterial SSU rRNA
Rfam family: Bacterial small subunit ribosomal RNA
Source: RNAcentral